This is a long non-coding RNA of Astatotilapia calliptera (eastern happy), 1030 nucleotides long. Lineage: Eukaryota; Metazoa; Chordata; Actinopteri; Cichliformes; Cichlidae. The record is from Ensembl.
UUUCCACAUAGGCCACUGAGUGUUUCCCAUGCAGGCUUGUCAUGGCCACAGUUUCCUGCAGGAUUUCAUCAAUUAGCAGCAGUGCAUAGCUGGUGGCAUAGUGUGUAGGUCCUGGGAUCAAACCUCUGGCUGCUGGGAUGUAGGGGAGCAUUGCAGUCUUUGUGGAAAACCAAAAUAUGGGGAUGACCAAAACAUGGAGAUGGAGACACCCAUCCAGUCACUGCUUCAACUAUCUCCUUUCCAGUCUCACCAUCAGAUGAGUCAGAGUUGGACUCCAGCUGGUCUGUAAAUGGUAAAAAAAAAAAAAAGUAGCGCCACUUGGUGAACCAAUUUAAAAAUUAAAACUUAAAAAUUGAAGGUGAGCAGUCCAAAAUAAAAUCUUAACAUAAAGGAAUGCAGUACUAGUAGUAGAUGUCGAGAUAAAUGGGGGUUAAAAAUGUGCAUUUUCAAUUAUUUUCAAUGAGACAUUUUGGCCUGUGAAUAAAAUGUGGUCGUUUUCACGCAGCUUGGCCAUUUUAAGCUAAAAGGAACCUGAGACAACGAUCGUAAAAAAAAAAGAAAAAUAGAUAUCUUCUGGCAAAUAUGAGCUAUGUUUAGUCAGCGCAGCCAAAAUAGCAUGAAAAUGUCCCCUCGACUAUCUAAGGGUUUAGAGUAGAGAAAGAAGAGGGCUCUAGUGUCUUGAUAACUUUUUCUUUGAAACAAAGACAUCAGCCUUCUGUGUUAAAAGGUUAAAAUACGCUAGUCUACUAUUUCAUAGGUAACAAUUUAAUUGCAUCUAGGGGAAGCCAGUGCUAGGAGGCAAAAACUAGAGAAAUAUAGUAAAUCAUAUGGGUAACUAGAAUUUGUGCUGCGCUAUUAGGAGCAAACAUGUUUUGUUUUUCAUAAAUGUCACAGCAAAAAAAAAAAAAAGGACAGGGAGGGAAAAAAAUCAUUAAAAUGGAUUAUGCACACAUUAGCAUUUAGCAAGCUUUACAAGCCAUGUUCCUGUUUACUCUCCACCAUAACACGUGUCUGCUGAUGUACAUGUACA